UACGGAGGAUGCAAGCGUUAUCCGGAAUCAUUGGGCGUAAAGAGUCCGUAGGCGGAACUUCAAGUCUGCUGUCAAAGACCGAAGCUUAACUUCGGAAAGGCGGUGGAAACGGAAGAACUAGAGUACAGAAGGGGUAGAGGGAAUUCCCAGUGUAGCGGUGAAAUGCGUAGAGAUUGGGAAGAACACCAGUGGCGAAGGCGCUCUACUGGGCUUGUACUGACGCUGAGGGACGAAAGCUAGGGGAGCGAAAGGG
Molecule: ribosomal RNA, 253 nt
Filed under: uncultured bacterium
Lineage: Bacteria
Description: partial 16S ribosomal RNA
Rfam family: Bacterial small subunit ribosomal RNA
Source: RNAcentral